GGGCCCGUAGCUCAGCGGAAGAGCGGUCGCCUAAACGCGAACGUCAGCGCCGGUUCGAACCCGGCCGGGUCCACCA
This 76-nucleotide transfer RNA is filed under the name Streptomyces sp. JB150. RNAcentral describes it as "tRNA-Leu". It matches the Rfam family "tRNA". Rfam says of the family: Transfer RNA (tRNA) molecules are approximately 80 nucleotides in length. Their secondary structure includes four short double-helical elements and three loops (D, anti-codon, and T loops). Further hydrogen bonds mediate the characteristic L-shaped molecular structure. tRNAs have two regions of fundamental functional importance: the anti-codon, which is responsible for specific mRNA codon recognition, and the 3' end, to which the tRNAs corresponding amino acid is attached (by aminoacyl-tRNA synthetases). tRNAs cope with the degeneracy of the genetic code in two manners: having more than one tRNA (with a specific anti-codon) for a particular amino acid; and 'wobble' base-pairing, i.e. permitting non-standard base-pairing at the 3rd anti-codon position. Lineage: Bacteria; Bacillati; Actinomycetota; Actinomycetes; Kitasatosporales; Streptomycetaceae. The record is from RNAcentral.